GUUGUUCCUUUGCGACGCCUCUCUGCCCGCGCGUCUACGGAGCUGUCGCAAAGUGAGGGCGCCGGCCGCCAAGCGCGGAAGCCUGGCAGGGAAGAAGGCGGACCCGCGUGGCGCUGGCAGCAUGGGGGACGCGCUGGACGAGCCGUGGUGGGAGGCGGCGGCGGGGGAAGGCAGCGGCUCAGGUAAGAACAACUUUUGUUGUGAUCUUUGCUUCCAAAGAAAGUCUCCCGUGGUAAGGUAUUAAUCUAUUUUUCUGUCUUCCUUUAGUAAUGGUAUUAUUUUUCUCUGUAUUAAAGUGGAGGGAAAAAAAGGAAAAAAUAAUCCCUGUCUGAGUGCUGUACCUUUUUGAAUAUGCUGAUAGGGUUGCUGGAAGAGAACUUUAAAGCUUUGAAUGGGAAUUUGGGUUUUUACUUAAUAAUUUUCUAUAUGCAAGGUGACAGUACAAGCACACAAGCAAGUUGCUGACUAUCACCUGCAGUACUCUGAACAAGUUUGAAAUAGGUUUUUUUUAGCAAAGAAGUGCUUCAGAUUUUUUGUUCAAUAUCUGCAUGCCCUAAGGCCCUGCCCAGGUUUCUACCUGAGCUCAUGUAGUAGUAAUUUCUUUACCUACUUUACACCAAAAGAAUUUAAAGCUAGAUAACUAAAGGAACAUAUCAAGUAGCUAUGUUAAACAUGUACUGUAAGUUAAAUCAUGAUUCAAUGGAAUAAUUAACAAGGCUUGCAAUAGCAGGAUUCCAGAGCUGUUUUUUAAAACAUAAGUCUGGUAUGUCUAAAUGUACUGUCUAGUAAUGCUGCAGGGUCUGUACUGUACUGGGUUUUUCUCUCCACAGUCACUCGUAACUGUAGAUUUAGAAGCUUCCUGUUAAAAAGAUCUUUCAUUUAGCAGGCCUAGAGACAACUUCUGAUUACAAGAGAAUUGGUAUAUUGUGGAGAGUAAUGGAACUAUAAAUACGACUUCCUGUGCACUAGACAUGUUUGCCAGUUACUGGAAGCUUGAAAAAGGAGAUCUUGUCUGGCUACAAUUCACAAUCAACCUAUGGAAACGAGUUGAGAACAGCAAUCCAUUUCUUUCAUCGGGGACACUGUUGGUUCAUUUCAUUGCAGUUCUGCUUUUUUGUUCUUUUUCCUUUACGUGUACAGUUUUAAUUAAUCAGUGAGAGGCCCAGGCAUGAGGUAACGUUGGAAAUCAACAUUUUGAAUCCUGUGAUUCUUAAUAGAGAAUUAAUGGAAACAGAGGUACUGCUAUCUCCUCGGUCAAAACUUUGUGUCAUUUGGACGGUAUCUAAAGACAGGCUCUGGGCUGCUGUGUGCAUAAAUUCCUUUGGGAUUUGUGUGUUUUUGGAAGACCAAAAUUAAAACAAGAAAUAGUGUAAUUCAUACUGGGAAAUAAGACCUCCUAAUCUUUAAAAUUCACUGGCAUCUGUAUUGUCACAAUUUGAAGUGAGAAGGGCCCUCCACAGUCAUCUAGUCUGAUCCUUCCUAUUGCACAAGGCCAAAAUCUCUUGCUUAUUAUUGAAACAAAUUUUAUGUGGGUUAAUAAAGUCAGUGGAAGUUGCAUGAAUUUUAAUUUUCUCAAGGCUUAAAUAUGCUUUCUCAUUGCUGUUCCAUCUGAAAGGCAGUAAGUGAUGUUCUCAAGUAAACUGUGGAGUAUGAGAUGCUUUAUGCCAAGAAGCAGAGCUUGUAGCUUCCCAGAAAUGCGUGGAUGGCAUUCAUCCUCAGCCUAACUGCUCCCACACCACUGGUUUCCAGCUGGCGAGGGGGAAGAGGUGAGAAGCAAUGUGACAAGGAGAGGGGAGUAGAGAGGCAGUGAUACAGAUGGUAUGAGGGAGGAGGAGUAAGGAAAAGGUACAAAAAACCUGACAUCAGAGAGUCUGUGCGUCAGUGAAGUAAGAAAAAAUUGGCAUAUGAGAUAAAAGAUAUGAUCCUGCCAGGUGUUCACUAUCCAUUGGUUUGACCAUGUUCUUCUAAGACUAAACAGGCUUUGAAGAGAUUGAGGCCCUUAGGAAGUGGUUGUUAGUUUAUGUCAGGAAUGAGCAAAAUGCUUGUAUUCCAUCUCCUGCACACACUGUUGUACCCCUGCUCGUGCACUCUUUCUCUCUGUCUUGCUCAGUCCUUUCUUUCUUGUCAGUCUCUUUUAUUGGUUGAAGAUUUAUCACAUUUGAGUCUUGUUCUUGUUCUUGUUCUUGAGACGCAGAACAAAGCUUUACCAAUCAAGAGCGCUGCAUUAGUUUCCCCAUGUCACUACUCUCAGCUACACCCCUCCAUAGGCUAUUCCUACUUCUCUUGAAAACAUCAUGCAGUGUUUUGUACUCCUCAGAAGACCACAAACUCUAGCACUGUAGCACUUGCUUUGGACAGUAAAAAUGUAGAACAGGCAUUUUACAUCAGCAUACAGUUCAUGUAUGCAUAGCACACACGUGAAGCAAGCCCAAGCCAUAUGGAACGAUCUUGCGAUUUUCUUCUCACUCCUCUUUCCCUCCCUCUUUUUUUAAUGUUUUUUUUUUUUCUUUCUUUCUUUUAAAGACAGUAGUUUGGCAGCAGGGAGGAGAGAAGAAGAAUCAGGUCUGAAGAAACCAUUGGUCUCACUAAUUUGAGAAGACUUUUUGCUUUAGUUGCAAAGGAUGGAAGUCUUUAUGCCUAUGUCUUGCAUACUGGCAGCAUCAUUACUUUCUUUUAUCUGAAUUCUGUCCUGUGACAUAAAAGACCCGUGUUCCUAUAGAAGAACAAUCCAUUUCUUCUGAAGGUUUUCAUGAUCACAAGGCUCAUAAUCUGGGAAUGAAAUUGAAGUCCAGAUUAUUUAAUUUAAAAUAUAAACUUAACUGCAAAUAUUGUGUUGUUUUUCUUAUUUUUGUUUUGUUUUGCUUCUCCUGCCUUUGAUUUUCCUAUCCUUUCCAGCAUUUUACUCUUUAAAAACAAAACAAAAAAGAAGUAAAAAGGAGUUAAAUAUAGAUGUGGAUUACAUCACUUGGUCUGUAGUACUUAUAUUUGCUAGAAAGAUAGAAGUUUACUGCCAAAAUAUGACUCAAAGGAUCGAUAGCAAACAAUCUGUGCAAGUUUACACAAGAGAACUGAAGUAUUUCAUACCAUACGAAUUGUGCUUUAAAGGCACACAUUGCAAAAAUAGAUUCUUCUUUGGGAACGUUGCUUUUUAAAUUUUCACUGUUGCUUUCAGAAGUGUGUCCAAAUAGUUGUUAAGGGGAUUUUUUUUUCUGAGAAAUUUGUUGCUGCACACUGAGAACAUAGGGGAAUUCAGAUGACUGUGGCUUCAAAUGCUCGCAUUUAACAGAGGUCAGUCAUAAUAUUUCCAUCCACAUAAGCAGUGUUAAAUUUAAAAGAUCAUUUGUAAUUUACAAGCAUUUAAUUGUAACAAGGAAUUCAAAUAGGGAUCAGAAAGAUGUGUUCCCUGCUGCUCACAGUGGCUACGGCUGAGGAAAUUGCAUUUGCCAUGUCUUUAAAAGCAUUGCCAUGCCGUGCAUAUGAUGUUUAAUAUUGUUUGAUUAUUUUAAAAUCUUUUGGAGCGACUUAUCUAAAAUCCAUGUAAGUAAUGAAUAAUAGAAUUAUACCCUUUCCAUGUCUGCGCAUGGGUGACGUUAUAUAGAAGAAAAUUAUUUGGACAGAGUAACACUGAAAUAAUAGACACGUCUCUUCCUAUAUACUUUCUGUAUAGCCCUAUUUUGUUGACUCAAUCAUUUUGCUCUUCUGUCAUUGCCUUAACAGUUCCUCUAAUCCUUCUGAUGUUGAUCCAUUUAGCAUGUCAAGCGUCAGAAGGGAAACGAAGGGGAGCUCCCCACUCUUCUGCUUCUUUAAUCCAGGACUGAACAGAUAGAUACAAAUUUGGUAAGCUCGGGCCAGUGAAGAAUCUCAUCCCUUUUGCUUGCCUCUUGCUCUUAGUUAGUCUUUUUCUUUUGAUGUAACAUUAUCCACACAGUAAAUGAUUAAUUAAAGUCUCCUCAGUACUUCUAACAGUUUCAGAGGAGUCCUGACCAUGUGCUGAUUGUAAUGUCUGAUAGCAGUGGCGGGUUUUAGGCUUCAAAUGUUUGAGUAUGUCACAGCUUCCAUGUUUGAGAAGAAGCACAAAAUUUAGAAAACUGAGAGGAAUGGAGUAGAAAUUAUAGAAUUAAAAACUUGGGGUGAGAAGGAGAUGCUUUCAGCUUUGGGUUUGUUUCUGUGUGUCCCUUAAAUUUGGCACGCAUCUGUUGAGAUUGCUGGAACAACCUUCAUUAUUCUUAGCAGUUUACCCACCACAAAGUUUUGUUCUCCAUUUACAGAAGACUUGUCAAAAUGCUAUGACAACUAGCUGGUUUUAGACAAACAGAACCUGGCUCUAAAAAGACAGUAAGUCUGUAAGUCAAACAUGGAGGGCAGCCAUUGGCACUGGAAGAAGCAAGAAACCACAGAUUGUUUUCUCAUUGGAUGAAGAGCUUAAAGCAACGUAAAGUUAAUUGAAGAAUUCCUUGAAAGUGAAGUCAGACUGAAAUAAAAGCUUAGGGGUCUAUAAUUUACUAAAUGUGAAAGCUUUGUAAGCAGUAGUGAAGCUAAAAGUUUGAAAAGAACAUAUUUUAGUAAACAUAUCUGGCUUGUGUUACAGACUGUCCUGUUUUAAUUAUUUGUCCAAAUAAUGUAGAUUUUCAGUAGGAUCUCUAAUUAGGCACGGUUUGAUUUAUUGAGCUGGCCCCGUAUAAACCAUGAUGUCAUGCUGUACUGCUCGAAAUUACAGCUCUGCUCAUGCAGUUUCAAGAUGAUUAUUUUUAACUUUGGAAUGUUUCAGUUUUGUGCAUCUUGGCUUUUGGCUUUGUGAACUUAAGAUGUUCUCUGCUCCUCUCCUCCUCCCUCCCCCAGAUCAAAGCAUUUUGCUGCAAUGUAACACGAAUAAAAGCCAUUGAAAUGGACUUCUAAACACUCCUCUGUUUAAAUGCUGUUGGUAAAUAAGAAGGGAGGCAAGGAUACUCAUGCUUGCAUUAAGGGGGUUGAGAAAUAGGUACAGUCAGUACUGGACUGUGUGUUUUGCCAGGUGUCCAGAUGUUGAUGCCAUUCCAGAGCAGAAAAGCUUCAUUUCUGUCUUUAAAAGAUCUUAAUUUUCUUUCGAUGCUGCUAUUGAAGGCAAAGGGAGGGGGAAAAGGGGGAAUCUGCACUGCUUGUUCCUGCAGGUAAUAAGUACUUACUAGGAACAGAAACCCUUAGGCAUGUACAGUUUUACCCAUAUGUGUUGCAUUUUCUGCUUGUGUCCCUUUUGAACAGGAAAAUUUGCCUUUAGUUCAAACCACGUCCAUUCCAAAUGCAAAGGGAAGGCUUUUCACAGGAGAGUUUCUGAGCUUCUGUGUAGGGGAGGUCUCACAUCUGCAGAAGUGAGCAGCUCCUUGUCCUGCCAGCAUCCUGAUCUGGCACGGCGGGCUGCAGAGGAACAGAGGUCUGGGAGUGAGGUCAGGGUCUGGUCUGUCCUUCCAACCUCUUCUGGCACAGUGAAGAGACCAAGGUGUGGGGGGGGAGAAUUUCUGUGGAGUUGUCCAGGCAGCUCUUGUCUAGGAUAGAGCUUGUCAGCAAACCAGGAAGGGAAGGAGAGGGAAAGAGCUGAGGUGUCAUGCUUGGGCUGGAGACGCUUAAUUACCCGUAGCUGGCAUGGAAUGGAGCAGCAUUUGGGAGGCAGUAGCUGUGGCAGGGAAGGACAGCCUCCAUUUUCUCCUACAGCCAUAAGGAACAUUUCUGAGUGGGAGGGGAAGGUGAAAAUGUCUUCCUGUGGGUUUUAGUGGAGAGGCUUGGUGAGCUGCCCUUGGUGAUGACUGCAGCAUUUCAGGCUUGUGUAGGUGGAGAGUAAUGCAUUUCGAGUCAUCGCGAAGCUGUGCUUCUCAGGAGGAGCCUUCAUUACAUAAAAGCUAACUCUGUUUCUAUGCCUUUAAUUGUGUAUAUAAACUGGAUUGCAGCUUAAAAGACUCAUAAACAGCCAUGGGAUUUCUUGUUGGUUUUUUUUUUUUUUUUUUUUUUGAAGGUUAUUCGCAAUAAGUAUCACAUUUUUAAUAUAAUCAGUUGUUGCCUCACAUAUCAUUUCUAAAUGUGUAACUGCUUUUAGUUGUCCUGUAACUCGUCGCAGUGUAGCUAAUGAAGAUCGGAGAGAAGGCUCUCAAGAGGGGAAAGGGGAAAGGAGUUCAUGCUCUCUCUGUGCUUGGUGCCAGUGAAAGUAAAUGGGUGGAAAGUAUGUGCGAGUUUGCUAACCAAUGGUAUGUGUAGUGGAAAGAUUUGAUAUCUGAGCCCAGUUUUAAAAAAAAUACAUAUUCAUUUGCUUGUUUUGACCUGGCAAGGUUGCCAACUGAAAACAAAUUUAACCAUUUAGAAUAAGGUGGAAGCCUUAAUCCAUUGAGUAUUCAGCUCUCUAGUUUUCAGUAACGGGGUCCUAUAAUGUCCUAGUUAUAUCAUAACCUCUUCAGAAAUGGUAUGUAGUUCAAUAAUCAACAAGUUUCCCUUUCCUGUUGAUUGUAACCCUUUGAGAAGCUUUUCACAGUAGCUGAAAUCCAGUGAUAAGCAGACCACCUGUCUUGUUUAGUUUUGCUGAAAUGAAGCUAAGUAGUAGAUUUGAGAUGAUUUGAAGAUGAGCUGCUCGUGUUUUGUCUUGCCUUAACAACACAGGCAUGUCUUUUUUUCAUAUCAAUCACAAAAUCUUAAUAUAGUCUCUUUUGCAGAUAGUAAUUAGCAGAUAGUUGAAAUGGAUCUUGCUGUGAGAUUUCAGUGGACUGACCGAUUAUCAGACACUUGGUGUGAGUCUGUGUGCAUGCAUGCACAUGCACUGGCUUUGUCCUCAUUUUCUUUAAUGGAUCUGGCAAUAUGCUGGGUACCAAAACAGAAGCAGGCCUUGAGAAGCAUAUGACUGACAGCAGUUUAAUUCUUUUCUGUAUAAUAAAUGACUGAUGUAAGUUUAAUUAUAUUUUUUUCUGGCAGCUCUUACAUGACAUUUACUUGCUGAAACAGGUGUUGGAACUUACAAGAACAGUUUGCCUCUGAGAGACAAGUAUAACAGGUACAUCACCACAUCAGAGAUGUGGUAGAAGCCCUGUCCCUGGAGACACUCGAGGGCAACCUGAUCUAGCUGUGGGCAUCCCUGUUCAUUGCAGGGGAGCUGGACUAGAUGACCUUUAAAGGUCCCUUCAAACUCUAAGGAUUCUAUGAUUCAAGGCCAGGCUGGAUGUGGCUCUGGGCAGCCUAGUCUAGUGGUUGGCAACCCUGCACAUUGCAGCAGGUUGAAACUCAAUGAUCAUUGUGGUCCUUUUCAACCCAGGCCAUUCUGUGAUUCUAUGAUUCUAUGAUCACUGUUUAUCUUGUCAUUAAAACUGGACGUUUACCUGCAAGCAGUCUCACAACAGAGAGAAGCUACAGGUCAGAAAUUGCUCAGUGGGGAUCUGUAGCCUGCAGUAUAGGAUGAAGCGAUCGUACUUGCCAGAAAAGACAAGUAGGUUAUGAUGACUCUCAUGAGAAACUGAACAGGACGGUUGAGAGGAGCAUGCUUGCUGUGAGUCCUGGAUUUGCCAGGGGUCAUCAGAUGGACAGCAGUGGUAUUUUCCAGCUCACAGUACUUUCAGUAGCUUCCUUUUCCUUUUGCUCUUACAAUGUAAAGCUGUUUACUGUCAUGUAAAAAAGAAUUGCUUCAAUAACAUGUGCUUGAAUAUGUUUUCUUGAUAUCAGUGCCAAAAAUCAAGAGGAACAGCACUGCACAAAAAUGCUAGAACUGAGAGAGAUGGUUACAUCUGACUGCUGGGUCACUGCUCAGUAACUUGAGUGUGGUUAGCAGAGAAGCCACGAUGCCACAGGUCAGUGUGCAGGCUGUAUUAAACUUAACAAAAUAAGUGGCUGCUCAUUUCAAGGCAGAUUGCUGCAAUUGUUGGCAGAAAUUAAAAAUAGCACAGCUUUGAUCUUGGUGUUUUGCAAGACUGCUUCUGACCGAUGUAGUGGAAGGCUUGCUUUUCCUCAAAUAUAGCUGCAGUUCUACUUGAGUAAAACUUCAGCUGAUUCUUGGCUAUAUCUUGAAUUUAGGAGUCAAUACUAAGAUGAUUCACAUCCCUUAAUUAAACCUCCAGCAGCAUCCCGGGAGGCAAGUUUAGAGAGGAAGAAAUAGAGGUGACUAGCCUAAAGGAGCAGGGACACUGGAAAUUCCUAAAUUACUCAGGUUUCAUGUAAACGCCGUCCAAUUACAGCAUUGUCAUUUAGAGUAAUUAAUAAAUCUGUAUCUGUAGCGAAUACGAUUUACAUAAACCACAUCCAUUCACAAGAAAAGAACUGCUAUUAAAUUAAUUGAUAUGAAGAUCACACAUUAAUAAUAUGAUUAAACUGUCCAAGAACCAAGAAAGUCUGUCACUUCUUCAUAUCUGACUUUUCCUAAGCACUGAAGAACAGCCAUGUUGUAUCAGGCUGAUGUCCGUCAAGCUUUGUAUCUUGUCUCCAGCUGUGAGGAUCAAGGCAUACAGUCAUGCUCUCUUUGCUACAUCUUGCUGUUUUCAGUAACAUUCUGCUCAAAUUCUCUUCUGAAAUCUAUUUUCAGCUUUAAAUUUUGGUUUUGCUGAAAACUGUGCGUCUUUGUGGCAGCAAAUCCAUAGUGAGCUGCCUUUUCUUGUGAGCAGUAUGACUAAGCGCACCCAGGCCUCCCUCAGACAUGUUAUUAUCACCAUCUGCUAGUGGCUUCUUGUCAUCUCUACUUGCAUAUGAGACAUUUCUUUCACAGGAGGAUAAACUCAUCUGUCUGCCAUAGCCUAUAAUGCUUCAGAAAUGCAGUGAGACCAAGCAGUUUCUUCUUUGAUGUGUUUUGUAGAAGUAGUGGUUAUAGGAACUAUCAAGAGACACUUUAGUGUAGGGGUAUGAAGAGAACUAAGGGAGGCCCUUAUGAAAUGUGAAAGAGGUUAAGGUUACUAUGCUUCGUCUUUUCUUCCUGCAGCUCUGGAGCUGCCCCUGUGCUAGAAGUAGGCCUGUCAAUGAUGUGAGCAUCAAGUCACGUGCUGGCAAUGAAUGGAUUUUGCAUCAGUCAGAGGACAUCUGAUGCACAAUCUUUGAGAACACAGUUAAUGUACUUUUUCCUUUGUGUGUGUGUGUGUGUUUCUUUCAUGCAGAACAAGGUGAGAAGAAGAGCACAAACAAGAAUAAAAAGAGCCUUCUUUUACAUUUCAUCAUUCCAUUUUCUUAGCUUUUAUUCACCUGCUUGCUUGGUCUGAAAGAUAAGAAUCACUAUGAAAAGUGAUCCUGUAGAAGUAGUCUCUGGAUGUUUCUUUAGCAGACUAUGGAAAACCCGAGUAUACCUACUUUACGUAGAUGUUAAAGGCAGCACUGUGACUAGUAUGUUUCCCUCUUAUUUUCUACACAGUGGCUAAUCAUGCUAUCACUUUUUUUCUACCAUAUGCUUGUUGUAGCUCACGUAGCUCAUAGCAGUAAUUAAUUACUGGCAGUAAUGCUGGCCAGCGUAUGCUAUAAAACAGGGUUUGCUUUUAUCAAUAAAUUAUCAUAUGCUUACAGUUUGAGCCUCGAUUAGCAUUAAAGCUGUUGUUGUCC
RNAcentral lists this long non-coding RNA (9519 nucleotides) under Gallus gallus (chicken). The record is from RNAcentral. Lineage: Eukaryota; Metazoa; Chordata; Aves; Galliformes; Phasianidae.